Molecule: ribosomal RNA, 491 nt
Filed under: Proteomonas sp. RCC4473
Lineage: Eukaryota; Cryptophyceae; Pyrenomonadales; Geminigeraceae
Description: SSU rRNA
Rfam family: Eukaryotic small subunit ribosomal RNA
Source: RNAcentral
UCGUAGUCGGAUGUCGGGCUUGGGCAGGCUGUCGGCGUUUGUCGGACGGCAGGCUCGGGCCUUUCUGCCUGGGGACCUCGUUGCACUUCAUUGUGGGGCGAUGGGACGCAGGCCGUUUACUUUGAAAAAAUUAGAGUGUUCAAAGCAGGCCUACGCUUGAAUACAUUAGCAUGGAAUAAUGGAAUAGGACUUUGGUGCCAUUCUGUUGGUUUAUGGAACCGAAGUAAUGAUUAAUAGGGACAGUUGGGGCCGUUUAUAUUUCGUUGUCAGAGGUGAAAUUCUUGGAUUUACGAAAGAUAAACUUCUGCGAAAGCAUUCGGCAAGGAUGUUUUCAUUGAUCAAGAACGAAAGUUAGGGGAUCGAAGACGAUCAGAUACCGUCGUAGUCUUAACCAUAAACUAUGCCGACUAGGGAUCAGUGGAUGUCAAUUUGCGACUCCAUUGGCACCUUGUGAGAAAUCAAAGUUUUUGGGUUCCGGGGGGAGUAUGGUC